This 253-nucleotide ribosomal RNA is filed under the name uncultured bacterium. RNAcentral describes it as "partial 16S ribosomal RNA". It matches the Rfam family "Bacterial small subunit ribosomal RNA", at positions 524 to 776 of the family's 1533-position model. The record is from RNAcentral.
UACAGAGGUCCCAAGCGUUGUUCGGAUUUACUGGGCGUAAAGGGUGCGUAGGCGGUUAUUUAAGUCUGACGUGAAAUCUCCGGGCCUAACCCGGAAACUGCGUUGGAUACUAUUUAGCUAGAGGAGUGGAGGGGAGACUGGAAUACUUGGUGUAGCAGUGAAAUGCGUAGAUAUCAAGUGGAACACCAGUGGCGAAGGCGAGUCUCUGGACAUUUCCUGACGCUGAGGCACGAAAGCCAGGGGAGCAAACGGG